RNAcentral lists this ribosomal RNA (297 nucleotides) under Triticum aestivum (bread wheat). RNAcentral describes it as "partial small subunit ribosomal RNA". The record is from RNAcentral. Lineage: Eukaryota; Viridiplantae; Streptophyta; Magnoliopsida; Poales; Poaceae.
CGGCGGCGGAGGGAGUGGAGGUCGCCGCCGGGGCAGAACUGCACGACAACGCAGGAGAAGCGCGGGGCGGCGUCGAAGUCGGCGAAGAGCGUGGGGAGGAACGGGUGGUCGAGCAGCCGCAGGAUGCGCUUCUCGGCGGCCGCCCGCUCCAGCUUGUGCUUCUUGGCCACGGCGCGCCGGUCCACCACCUUCAAGCAGGGGAUGCAGUGGCCCGCCCUUCUCCAGGCCUGUAGAGAGACAGGUUAUGGGCUGUGCAAUCGCAAUGUAUUGAUCGGUGCACCAGACACGUAUAUAUAA